This is a long non-coding RNA of Catharus ustulatus (Swainson's thrush), 625 nucleotides long. RefSeq lists it as uncharacterized. NCBI's taxonomy places the organism in Eukaryota, Metazoa, Chordata, Aves, Passeriformes, Turdidae. The transcript is spliced from 3 exons. The record is from RefSeq and is a predicted model, not a curated record.
AUGCUUUUCAGCUCCGGCUCAAAAGGAGCCGGCGCGGGGCCUCGCCUCUUAAUUGCGGAGGAGGGGGAACAUGGAAAAGCCUCUGGCUGCUGUUAAUGCAGGAGAAAGCGGCUGCUCCGGAGGCACAGCCUCCUCCCGGGCAUCCUCCCAGCGGGGUGGGAGCCGAGCCGGAGCGCUCAUCCUGGGAAUGCGCCAGCGAGGGCCGGCGGCGGAGCUGGAGAGCUGGAUCCCGCUGAGAGGAUGAAAACAUGGGGCUCAAGUUAUCCUGCCUGAAAGGCUUGAAGAUGUGUGUGAGCAACGGGAACGGCAGCGACGGGACCCCGACGGCAUCCUCGGGCCAGAAGCACCUGCACGUGCCCUCCAUCAUCGUCACACCUCCCACGCCCACCGGGACCACGCUGUCCCGCGAGGGGCGGCGCGGCGAGGGCGCCUCGCCCUGCAGCCAGUGCUGAGCGGGGACACGGGGGACAGCCAGCCUGGCAGGACCUGUCCCUGCCCCGUCGGGAUGGAGCCACAGCCCGCAGGGUGCGGCUGCCAGGGACACGCGGGGCACCCACCAGGGUGGGUUUGGACGCCAAGGACUGGGGUUUGUGUCUUUUGUUAAUAAAACCCCUGGGGCUCCGCA